UUUGUUUCUUUCAAGCCUUUUGCCAAAAGGGUUUGCAACAAUGCAGAUAAUAAAACUUGAAUUUAAAGCGAUUUCAAAAAAGGAAUGGAGAGAGUUCAAGGAAACCAUGGUGUUGAUCAUUGAUUGCAGAGGGAAUUGGAGAUGGUGAAUUCAACUAUUCAGACAUAAAGUGAAUAAUUCAUGAAGAUGUUUAUGCUGUGUCUGCUGGAUACAAGUCACCCUUCUAGAUCUGUGAAGAAGAGUUCCUGUUUCAUGAAGCUUAGAAUCCACAGAUGGGGUCAAGUAAUACGCAGGCUGAUAAAUAGUAGGCAGUAUUGCUGAUGUGAAGAAGAAAGUUUCAGGAUAGCGAGACAACAUGUAUAUAGAUAUGAAAGUGACCAUCCCAACACGGAAGUGUCAAGAAAGCAUUUUACAGCAGGAUACAUCCUCUGCAGCAAAUUUUAAGUGUAGUCCUGUCUGAAGGGAGGCAGAUGAAGAGGAUGACGUUCUUCUGUCCCUGGCAACCUGUAGAUCAUAAGACGAUACUGACACUGCGACUGAAGUCUAUCUUUCACUGCACUUGCUCAAAGGAAGUACGGGCCAUAUGGCCAAAUUGGAAGGACACAAAACACUCAUUACGAUCCAAUUUAGUCACUUAUGUGACUGGACAGUACUGC
Molecule: long non-coding RNA, 656 nt
Organism: Hyaena hyaena (striped hyena)
Lineage: Eukaryota; Metazoa; Chordata; Mammalia; Carnivora; Hyaenidae
Exons: 4
Source: RefSeq, a predicted model, not a curated record